Non-coding RNA from Hydra vulgaris (swiftwater hydra), 617 nucleotides. NCBI's taxonomy places the organism in Eukaryota, Metazoa, Cnidaria, Hydrozoa, Anthoathecata, Hydridae. The record is from RefSeq and is a predicted model, not a curated record.
UAGAAAAAAUAGAAAAAGUUAACAACACAAUCAAAACAAGUGAAAAAAUAUCCUCAACAAAACGAACAAAAAAUGCAAGGUGUUGUAUUUACCGACAAAACGAAAAAAAUUAAUGCUAAAAAUAUGUCUUUCUACUUGCCAGAACUGCGAAAAUAUCAAAACGAAAUGUAUGAAGAGUAUUCCAUGUUAAAAGGGAUCGAAUUAAAGACCACUGAUGACUAUUUAACAACGAACGGUGGUAAAAUAAAUAAAUUCCAUGCCUGUCGAUUCGAGUACGAAAUUGCUAAUUCAACAGAAAUCGAAAAUGUGCUUAUCGACGACUAGGUAAAAAAUAUAUCAUCGACUCGUCAAGCCGUUCGUAUUUUAUUUUUGAAUUAGCAAAACAACUUUUUCCUGUAAAAAACUAAGAACCUUUAACUUCUAUUUAUCAUUUUUUGGUCUUUUCAUUUUUUUUACAUUUGGUCUUUACAUUGGUCACAGUUUUAGUUUUUAUUAGAUAAUGAAUGACCGAAAAACGGACUAGUUUUUUUGUUUUAGAGUCUGAAUUGCGUGCAGCAUAUGCAAGCGAGGUGUUUGUUAUACGAUAUCUUUGAAAAUACAAAAAUCUAAAAAGCCAA